Salvia splendens (bonfire salvia) is the source of this 293-nucleotide long non-coding RNA. RefSeq lists it as uncharacterized. NCBI's taxonomy places the organism in Eukaryota, Viridiplantae, Streptophyta, Magnoliopsida, Lamiales, Lamiaceae. The record is from RefSeq and is a predicted model, not a curated record. The transcript is spliced from 2 exons.
GUCGUGUUCGGAUUUGAAGGUAGCAGGUCGGGUUCGUGUUCGGAUUUACAGUUUCCUUAACAGGUAACGGCUGCAGAGUGCAGAGUGGCAUGAAAAACAGAUCAGACUUUUUGGAGCAGAUUUAAAGAAUAAAAAUCACGCUAGGAAUUCUGCCAUGAAGGAACAAGGUGGAGGGAUUGGGAAGCAUCUCCCACAUAUUUAUUUAUUUGUUUUAGUUCAUAGCCCUAAAGCCAAUUUUGUCAUAAAAUUGGACUCUAUUAUAUAUUGAAGAAGCCCGAUUAUAUUACUUCACA